Molecule: ribosomal RNA, 492 nt
Filed under: uncultured bacterium
Lineage: Bacteria
Description: partial 16S ribosomal RNA
Rfam family: Bacterial small subunit ribosomal RNA
Source: RNAcentral
AGUGAACGCUGGCGGUAGGCCUAACACAUGCAAGUCGAACGGCAGCACAGUAAGAGCUUGCUCUUACGGGUGGCGAGUGGCGGACGGGUGAGGAAUACAUCGGAAUCUACUUUUUCGUGGGGGAUAACGUAGGGAAACUUACGCUAAUACCGCAUACGACCUACGGGUGGAAGCAGGGGAUCUUCGGACCUUGCGCGAUUGAAUGAGCCGAUGUCGGAUUAGCUAGUUGGCGGGGUAAAGGCCCACCAAGGCGACGAUCCGUAGCUGGUCUGAGAGGAUGAUCAGCCACACUGGAACUGAGACACGGUCCAGACUCCUACGGGAGGCAGCAGUGGGGAAUAUUGGACAAUGGGCGCAAGCCUGAUCCAGCCAUACCGCGUGGGUGAAGAAGGCCUUCGGGUUGUAAAGCCCUUUUGUUGGAAAAGAAAAGCAGCAGGUUAAUACCCCGCUGUUCUGACGGUACCCAAAGAAUAAGCACCGGCUAACUUCGUG